Molecule: long non-coding RNA, 213 nt
Filed under: Panax ginseng (ginseng)
Lineage: Eukaryota; Viridiplantae; Streptophyta; Magnoliopsida; Apiales; Araliaceae
Description: long non-coding RNA (PGIN_LNC007862)
Source: RNAcentral
UUGCUGCUACUUUACCAAUAUCACAAUCUCUCUCUCUUUCUCGCCAAAAGGGUAAACUUUGCUCUUUCUUCUUGUCUGCCUCUGGCAUUGCUUUUUGCUCCGUCGCGGUUUCUGCCAUUUUUAACAGCUAAAAUAAAGCUUAUAACUUGAUAUAAAGUAUUUAUACGCAAGUGGGUAUAGCUCUUAUAAGUAUUUGCACCAUUGAAGAAGAAG